RNAcentral lists this ribosomal RNA (253 nucleotides) under uncultured bacterium. RNAcentral describes it as "partial 16S ribosomal RNA". It matches the Rfam family "Bacterial small subunit ribosomal RNA", at positions 524 to 776 of the family's 1533-position model. The record is from RNAcentral.
UACGUAGGGUGCGAGCGUUGUCCGGAAUUAUUGGGCGUAAAGAGCUCGUAGGCGGUUUGUCGCGUCGGCCGUGAAAACUUGGGGCUUAACCCCGAGCCUGCGGUCGAUACGGGCAGACUUGAGUUCGGCAGGGGAGACUGGAAUUCCUGGUGUAGCGGUGAAAUGCGUAGAUAUCGGAAGGAACAUCAGUGGCGAAAGCGACUUCCUGGACCAGUACCGACGUUCAGGCACGAAAGCGUGGGGAGCAAACAGG